RNAcentral lists this ribosomal RNA (354 nucleotides) under Triticum aestivum (bread wheat). Its description in RNAcentral is "partial small subunit ribosomal RNA". Lineage: Eukaryota; Viridiplantae; Streptophyta; Magnoliopsida; Poales; Poaceae. The record is from RNAcentral.
AUGGAGCUCGCAUCGGGCUCCAGCGGUGGCAGCGACAGUGACUUCUUUGUGGUGGUGAUAGGGUCCGACUUUGAAGUGGACGCCGGCGUGGCGCUUCUCGCCUCCCCCGCCAACCGUGAGGAGUGGCACGACUGUGUUCCGAACCUCGGCAUUGACUUCGCCGACCUCGGGGAGCUCCAGGUCGUCCACAUGCAGGGCACGGACAGAUCCGGCCGGGCGGUCGUCCGGGUCGUCGGCAAGGUUUUGGUGGUGACGAUGACAGUCGUCGAGAGGUUCGUGGACUGGACGGUGUCGUGGCUGCCGGGUUUCAAAGUGCAGGGAGCAAGGCACGUGUACGAUGGCUUCCUCCAUUGA